CCCUGCCAUUUGUACACACCGCCCGUCGCACCUACCGAUUGAAUGGUCCGGUGAAACCUCCGGAUCGAUGUCGCAUCCUUCACGGGCUGCGCGUCGAGAAGUUGGUUAAACCUUACCAUUUAGAGGAAGGUGAA
Molecule: ribosomal RNA, 134 nt
Filed under: uncultured eukaryote
Lineage: Eukaryota
Description: partial small subunit ribosomal RNA
Rfam family: Eukaryotic small subunit ribosomal RNA
Source: RNAcentral